ACUCCUACGGGAGGCAGCAGUGGGGAAUAUUUGCACAAUGGGGCGCAAGCCUGAUGCAGCCAUGCCGCGUGUGUAGCAAGAAUGGGCCUUCGGGUUGAUAAAGCACUUUCAGUCGUGAGGAAGGUAGUGUAGUUAAUAGCCGCAUUUUAAUUGGUCGUUAGCGACAGAAGAAGCACCGGCUAACUCCGUGCCAGCAGCCGCGGUAAUACGGAGGGUGCAGCGUUAAUCGGAAUUACUGGGCGUAAAGCGCAUGCAGGUGGUUUGUUAAGUCAGAUGUGAAAGCCCGGGGCUCAACCUCGGAAUUGCAUUUGAAACUGGC
Molecule: ribosomal RNA, 319 nt
Filed under: uncultured bacterium
Lineage: Bacteria
Description: bacterial SSU rRNA
Rfam family: Bacterial small subunit ribosomal RNA
Source: RNAcentral